CCCUUAGAUGUCCGGGGCCGCACGCGCGCUACACUGAAGGAAUCAGCGUGGCUUUCUCCCUGUCCCGAAAGGGUUGGGAAACCCGUUGAAUCUCCUUCGUGAUAGGGAUUGGGGCUUGAAAUUGUUCCCCAUGAACGAGGAAUUCCCAGUAAGCGCGAGUCAUAAGCUCGCGUUGAUUACGUCCCUGCCCUUUGUACACACCGCCCGUCGCUACUACCGAUUGAACGGUUUAGUGAGGGCCUCGGAUUGGUCUCGGCCCGCUCUUCACCGGGCGGCGCCGUUGGUCGAGAAGACGCUCGAACUUGAUCGUUUAGAGGAAGUAAAAGUCGUAACA
RNAcentral lists this ribosomal RNA (334 nucleotides) under uncultured eukaryote. RNAcentral describes it as "partial 18S ribosomal RNA". It matches the Rfam family "Eukaryotic small subunit ribosomal RNA", at positions 1470 to 1796 of the family's 1831-position model. The record is from RNAcentral.